ACGGCGUCGAGCGGCGGACGGGUGAGUAAUGCCUGGGAAAUUGCCCUGAUGUGGGGGAUAACCAUUGGAAACGAUGGCUAAUACCGCAUAAUAGCUUCGGCUCAAAGAGGGGGACCUUCGGGCCUCUCGCGUCAGGAUAUGCCCAGGUGGGAUUAGCUAGUUGGUGAGGUAAGGGCUCACCAAGGCGACGAUCCCUAGCUGGUCUGAGAGGAUGAUCAGCCACACUGGAACUGAGACACGGUCCAGACUCCUACGGGAGGCAGCAGUGGGGAAUAUUGCACAAUGGGCGCAAGCCUGAUGCAGCCAUGCCGCGUGUAUGAAGAAGGCCUUCGGGUUGUAAAGUACUUUCAGCAGUGAGGAAGAUGGUGUACUUAAUACGUGCAUCAUUUGACGUUAGCUGCAGAAGAAGCACCGGCUAACUCCGUGCCAGCAGCCGCGGUAAUACGGAGGGUGCGAGCGUUAAUCGGAAUUACUGGGCGUAAAGCGCAUGCAGGUGGUUUGUUAAGUCAGAUGUGAAAGCCCGGGGCUCAACCUCGGAAUUGCAUUUGAAACUGGCAGACUAGAGUACUGUAGAGGGGGGGUAGAAUUUCACGUGUAGCGGUGAAAUGCGUAGAGAUCUGAAG
RNAcentral lists this ribosomal RNA (623 nucleotides) under marine bacterium AK13_017. RNAcentral's name for it is "bacterial SSU rRNA". It matches the Rfam family "Bacterial small subunit ribosomal RNA", at positions 85 to 703 of the family's 1533-position model. The record is from RNAcentral.